This 324-nucleotide long non-coding RNA is filed under the name Elaeis guineensis (African oil palm). RNAcentral describes it as "long non-coding RNA (EGUI_LNC014446)". The record is from RNAcentral. Lineage: Eukaryota; Viridiplantae; Streptophyta; Magnoliopsida; Arecales; Arecaceae.
UUAUGGAAUGACUUAAUGAUAAAAUUUGCUUCAAGAAUUAGAAUAUUUAAGAGUUUAAAGGUUUGAGUAAGAAAAUUUCGAUGACUAGAAAUAGUGAUAUUGAUUCAAUCAACAAUGAUGAUAUUGAUCUUUAUGAAAUGACUUAAUGAUGAAGUUGCAUCGAGAAAUAAAAUAUCAAAAGUUCGAGAAUAAGAUUGAAAUGAUAAAUCUUCAACCUUUGAAAGUACGAAUAAGAGAAAAUAUUUUUAAAUUUUGAUUGAUUGGGAUAUCGUCAAAUGAUUCAUAGAAGUAUAUUUUCCUAUCAUAUGAUGGGUUGAAAUUAAG